This 413-nucleotide unclassified non-coding RNA is filed under the name Hevea brasiliensis (rubber tree). The record is from RNAcentral. Lineage: Eukaryota; Viridiplantae; Streptophyta; Magnoliopsida; Malpighiales; Euphorbiaceae.
AUUGAGAGUCCAUUUGGCCCGAUUUGUGGUUCUAAGCUGGAAAGUCAAAAUGAGUUGCAUAGAAAGCUGUUGAGAGCUCACUUUUCCAUAUAGCACUUGUUUUGGCCCUUGGCCUCCGUGCACAGUAAUGAAAAGUCUACAUGCUAACUAAGCUAAAGCUAAAAAACCUUGCUAAUUGGAUUGAUUUGAGGGAUGAAGGCGGGUAAUCAUAUUCCUUUUAUUACAGUAAAUGGUAUGUAUUAUACACUAUAUAUAUUCUGCAUCAUAUUAAAUUUGCUUUUAAUAAAAAAAAAUAUAAAAACUUUAGCUCAAAAUUAAAAUAUAAAUUUUUCUUAUUUAAACUUGAUUAAGUAUAGACUAAAGACGCAUAAUAUAUGGUGAUAUUAACUUAUUAUGUAUAUGGAUUCACCAAG